GAUCCUGGCUUAGGACGAACGCUGGCGGCGUGCCUAAUACAUGCAAGUCGAGCGGAAAUUUAUUGGUGCUUGCACCUUAAAUUUAGCGGCGGACGGGUGAGUAACACGUGGGUAACCUACCUUAUAGAUUGGGAUAACUCCGGGAAACCGGGGCUAAUACCGAAUAAUACUUUUUAACACAUGUUUUAAAGUUGAAAGACGGUCUUGCUGUCACUAUAAGAUGGACCCGCGGCGCAUUAGCUAGUUGGUGAGGUAACGGCUCACCAAGGCAACGAUGCGUAGCCGACCUGAGAGGGUGAUCGGCCACACUGGGACUGAGACACGGCCCAGACUCCUACGGGAGGCAGCAGUAGGGAAUCUUCCACAAUGGACGAAAGUCUGAUGGAGCAACGCCGCGUGAGUGAAGAAGGAUUUCGGUUCGUAAAACUCUGUUGCAAGGGAAGAACAAGUAGCGUAGUAACUGGCGCUACCUUGACGGUACCUUGUUAGAAAGCCACGGCUAACUACGUGCCAGCAGCGGC
This 521-nucleotide ribosomal RNA is filed under the name uncultured bacterium. RNAcentral's name for it is "bacterial SSU rRNA". It matches the Rfam family "Bacterial small subunit ribosomal RNA", at positions 15 to 518 of the family's 1533-position model. The record is from RNAcentral.